Molecule: long non-coding RNA, 438 nt
Organism: Physella acuta
Lineage: Eukaryota; Metazoa; Mollusca; Gastropoda; Physidae
Source: RefSeq, a predicted model, not a curated record
AUUCUAUCUGACCCUGUAACAAACUUGAUUACUCGCUUAACUUAAUGUGCUGAUCAAAGUACCGUUUGAUUUGAAGUUUAAAGGAUGGAUUGUUCCAGAGUGUUAGCCGUGUUUCUCUUAUUUAUCUUACCUCAAGGUUACACGGCUAUUGAUACGACAACAGAUGCUAGCUCUAUCACAGUGGGUGCUGCUGUAGGGGGCAGUACAGGCGGCAUCGUUGUUCUGGCCAUCAUCUGUUUGUGUCUGUGUUGCCACCAUGAGAAGAAAAACCAAGUGCAGGUCAUCACGACAGUCUCACGCUACUAGAAGUGAGUGAGGUCAGAGCGUUCGUCGCCUUCAAAAACAGAUGGCUGGAUGUCAAACAACAUCAGAACAUCAGACAACAUCGGACAACAUCAGACAACAUCAGACAACAUCAGACAACAUCAGACAACAUCA